AAGUGGAUUAGUGGCGCACGGGUGAGUAAUGCAUAGAUAACAUGCCCUUUAGUCUAGGAUAGCCACUGGAAACGGUGAUUAAUACUGGAUACUCCUUACGAGGGAAAGAAUUUCGCUAAAGGAUUGGUCUAUGUCCUAUCAGCUUGUUGGUGAGGUAAUGGCUUACCAAGGCUAUGACGGGUAUCCGGCCUGAGAGGGUGAACGGACACACUGGAACUGAGACACGGUCCAGACUCCUACGGGAGGCAGCAGUAGGGAAUAUUGCUCAAUGGGGGAAACCCUGAAGCAGCAACGCCGCGUGGAGGAUGAAGGUUUUCGGAUUGUAAACUCCUUUUGUUAGAGAAGAUAA
This 349-nucleotide ribosomal RNA is filed under the name uncultured Helicobacter sp. RNAcentral's name for it is "bacterial SSU rRNA". It matches the Rfam family "Bacterial small subunit ribosomal RNA", at positions 85 to 451 of the family's 1533-position model. Lineage: Bacteria; Pseudomonadati; Campylobacterota; Epsilonproteobacteria; Campylobacterales; Helicobacteraceae. The record is from RNAcentral.